Molecule: ribosomal RNA, 494 nt
Filed under: uncultured bacterium
Lineage: Bacteria
Description: partial 16S ribosomal RNA
Rfam family: Bacterial small subunit ribosomal RNA
Source: RNAcentral
GACGAACGCUGGCGGCGUGCUUAACACAUGCAAGUCGAACGGUGAAGCGCCUUCCUUUUUGGUGGGUGUGGAUGAGUGGCGAACGGGUGAGUAACACGUGAGUAACCUGCCCCCUUCUUCUGGAUAACCGCAUGAAAGUGUGGCUAAUACGGGAUAUUCUGGGUCUGUCGCAUGAUGGGUCUGGGAAAGAUAUUGUUUCGGUGGGGGAUGGGCUCGCGGCCUAUCAGCUUGUUGGUGGGGUGAUGGCCUACCAAGGCGGGGACGGGUAGCCGGCCUGGGAGGGUGGACGGUCACACUGGGACUGAGACACGGCCCAGACUCCGACGGGAGGCAGCAGUGGGGAAUAGUGCACAAUGGGCGCAAGCCUGAUGCAGCGACGCCGCGUGAGGGAUGGAGGCCUUCGGGUUGUGAACCUCUUUCGCCAGUGAAGCAGGCCUGCCUCGUUUGUGGGUGGGUUGACGGUAGCUGGAUAAGAAGCGCCGGCUAACUACGUG